UGUUAAAAUUUCAUCUGUUUUUACAGUUAAAUACUAGCGUGAUUGAUGAAAUAGGCACAUGUACCUCAUAUUAACUUAUAGAGACUUAUUUUUAACCGUAAAAAGUGAUGAAUUUUUUAAUC
RNAcentral lists this microRNA precursor (122 nucleotides) under Gossypium arboreum. RNAcentral describes it as "MIR7502 microRNA precursor family". It matches the Rfam family "MIR7502 microRNA precursor family". Lineage: Eukaryota; Viridiplantae; Streptophyta; Magnoliopsida; Malvales; Malvaceae. The record is from Rfam by way of RNAcentral.